RNAcentral lists this ribosomal RNA (465 nucleotides) under uncultured bacterium. RNAcentral describes it as "partial 16S ribosomal RNA". It matches the Rfam family "Bacterial small subunit ribosomal RNA", at positions 28 to 507 of the family's 1533-position model. The record is from RNAcentral.
GAUGAACGCUGGCGGCGUGCUUAACACAUGCCAGUCGAACGGAAAGGCCCAAGCUUGCUUGGGUACUCGAGUGGCGAACGGGUGAGUAACACGUGGGUGAUCUGCCCUGCACUUCGGGAUAAGCCUGGGAAACUGGGUCUAAUACCGGAUAGGACCACAUUUUGGAUGGUGUGGUGGAAAGUUUUUCGGUGUGGGAUGAACUCGCGGCCUAUCAGCUUGUUGGUGGGGUAAUGGCCUACCAAGGCGUCGAUGGGUAGCCGGCCUGAGAGGGUGUACGGCCACAUUGGGACUGAGAUACGGCCCAGACUCCUACGGGAGGCAGCAGUGGGGAAUAUUGCACAAUGGGCGCAAGCCUGAUGCAGCGACGCCGCGUGGGGGAUGAUGGCCUUCGGGUUGUAAACUCCUUUCGCUAGGGACGAAGCGCAAGUGACGGUACCUGGAGAAGAAGCACCGGCUAACUACGUG